Molecule: microRNA precursor, 158 nt
Filed under: Lotus japonicus
Lineage: Eukaryota; Viridiplantae; Streptophyta; Magnoliopsida; Fabales; Fabaceae
Description: miR11102 stem-loop (lja-MIR11102)
Source: miRBase by way of RNAcentral
ACCAUCCUUUUGUCAAUCUUUCGUAGCCUUCAUCAAAUUCAUAUGGAACCUUGUUAGUCCUCCUAGCAAGAUCUUCACAUUGAUAGAUCCUACUGGGGGCACUAACAAGAUUCUAUAUGAAUUUGAUGAAGGCUACGGAAGAUUGAUAAAAUGAUGGU